Molecule: ribosomal RNA, 444 nt
Filed under: uncultured Chloroflexota bacterium
Lineage: Bacteria; Bacillati; Chloroflexota
Description: bacterial SSU rRNA
Rfam family: Bacterial small subunit ribosomal RNA
Source: RNAcentral
GAUGAACGCUGGCGGCGUGCUUAACACAUGCAAGUCGAACGUGAGGAAGCAGCAAUGUUUCUGAAAGUGGCGGACGGGUGAGUAACACGUGGGUGACCUGCCUUGUAGUGGGGGAUAACCAUGGGAAACUGUGGCUAAUACCGCAUGGUCUUGAUGGGAGUGGAUUCCAUCAGGUAAAGCUUUAGUGCUACGAGAGGGGCCUGCGGUCGAUUAGGUAGUUGGUGAGGUAAUGGCUCACCAAGCCGAUGAUCGAUAGCUGGUCUGAGAGGACGAUCAGCCACACGGGAACUGAGAGACGGUCCCGACUCCUACGGGGGGCAGCAGUGAGGAAUAUUGGGCAAUGGGCGCAAGCCUGACCCAGCAACGCCGCGUGAAGGAUGAAGGCCCUUGGGUUGUAAACUUCUUUUGCAGGGGAAGAGAGCGGACGGUACCCUGAGAAUAAGU